GGUAGUAGCUCAGUUGGUAGAGCAUCAGCUUCCCAAGCUGAGGGUCGCGGGUUCGAGCCCCGUUUACC
Molecule: transfer RNA, 68 nt
Filed under: human gut metagenome
Also listed under: 6 other names
Rfam family: tRNA
About the family: Transfer RNA (tRNA) molecules are approximately 80 nucleotides in length. Their secondary structure includes four short double-helical elements and three loops (D, anti-codon, and T loops).
Source: RNAcentral